UACAGAGGGUGCAAGCGUUAAUCGGAAUUACUGGGCGUAAAGCGUGCGUAGUCGGUUAUUUAAGUCGGGCGUGAAAGCCCCGGGCUCAACCUGGGAAUUGCGUUCGAUACUGGAUAGCUAGAGUUCGGCAGAGGGAAGCGGAAUUUCUGGUGUAGCGGUGAAAUGCGUAGAUAUCAGAAGGAACAUCAGUGGCGAAAGCGGCUUCCUGGACCAGAACUGACGAUCAGGCACGAAAGCGCGGGGAGCAAACAGG
Molecule: ribosomal RNA, 253 nt
Filed under: uncultured bacterium
Lineage: Bacteria
Description: partial 16S ribosomal RNA
Rfam family: Bacterial small subunit ribosomal RNA
Source: RNAcentral